AUGAAAUCCGCUGUGGAGCCUCAUGUGCUUCAAGUUUUCCAUAUGAAUAAGAACUACAUACUCUUUUUCUGUGAUGAAUCAACAAGUGUCCUCCGAAAGGCUGAAGGUGAAUAUCAAGGGCACCGCUCUUUGAUGAUGCGCACCCAUGGUUUCCUCACCAUGAUGCAACGACAAGAUGUUCUUGAUGGUCGAACAAAAGAAGUGGAACAAAUGGGUUUAACUUGUAUGCCUACUCCUGUUGUGAUAAGCAUUUGGUUUCCAUCUGCAAGACAAGUUUCUGCUUGUGUAACAACAAUAUUGUCUGGGUCGUCUAGUUUCUAG
This 321-nucleotide ribosomal RNA is filed under the name Triticum aestivum (bread wheat). RNAcentral's name for it is "partial small subunit ribosomal RNA". The record is from RNAcentral. Lineage: Eukaryota; Viridiplantae; Streptophyta; Magnoliopsida; Poales; Poaceae.